Molecule: ribosomal RNA, 678 nt
Filed under: Escherichia coli
Lineage: Bacteria; Pseudomonadati; Pseudomonadota; Gammaproteobacteria; Enterobacterales; Enterobacteriaceae
Description: partial 23S ribosomal RNA
Rfam family: Bacterial large subunit ribosomal RNA
Source: RNAcentral
CGUUCUGUAAGCCUGUGAAGGUGUGCUGUGAGGCAUGCUGGAGGUAUCAGAAGUGCGAAUGCUGACAUAAGUAACGAUAAAGCGGGUGAAAAGCCCGCUCGCCGGAAGACCAAGGGUUCCUGUCCAACGUUAAUCGGGGCAGGGUGAGUCGACCCCUAAGGCGAGGCCGAAAGGCGUAGUCGAUGGGAAACAGGUUAAUAUUCCUGUACUUGGUGUUACUGCGAAGGGGGGACGGAGAAGGCUAUGUUGGCCGGGCGACGGUUGUCCCGGUUUAAGCGUGUAGGCUGGUUUUCCAGGCAAAUCCGGAAAAUCAAGGCUGAGGCGUGAUGACGAGGCACUACGGUGCUGAAGCAACAAAUGCCCUGCUUCCAGGAAAAGCCUCUAAGCAUCAGGUAACAUCAAAUCGUACCCCAAACCGACACAGGUGGUCAGGUAGAGAAUACCAAGGCGCUUGAGAGAACUCGGGUGAAGGAACUAGGCAAAAUGGUGCCGUAACUUCGGGAGAAGGCACGCUGAUAUGUAGGUGAAGUCCCUCGCGGAUGGAGCUGAAAUCAGUCGAAGAUACCAGCUGGCUGCAACUGUUUAUUAAAAACACAGCACUGUGCAAACACGAAAGUGGACGUAUACGGUGUGACGCCUGCCCGGUGCCGGAAGGUUAAUUGAUGGGGUCAGCGCAAG